UUGGAGGGCAAGUCUGGUGCCAGCAGCCGCGGUAAUUCCAGCUCCAAUAGCGUAUAUUAAAGUUGUUGCAGUUAAAAAGCUCGUAGUUGAAUUUCGGGGUCAGUAGGUUGGUCAUGCCACCGGUAUGUACUGGUCUCACUGAUUCCUCCUUCCUGAUGAACUGUAAUGCCAUUAAUUUGGUGUUGCAGGGAAUCUGGACUGUUACUUUGAAAAAAUUAGAGUGUUUAAAGCAGGCUAACGCCUGAAUACAUUAGCAUGGAAUAAUGAAAUAGGACGUUCGAUCCUAUUUUGUUGGUUUCUAGGAUUGACGUAAUGAUUAAUAGGGAUAGUUGGGGGCAUUAGUAUUCAAUUGUCAGAGGUGAAAUUCUUGGAUUUAUUGAAGACUAACUACUGCGAAAGCAUUUGCCAAGGAUGUUUUCAUUAAUCAAGAACGAAAGUUAGGGGAUCGAAGACGAUCAGAUACCGUCGUAGUCUUAACCAUAAACUAUGCCGACUAGGGAUCGGAUGAUGUUAAUUUUUUAAUGACUCAUUCGGCGCCUUACGGGAAACCAAAGUGUUUGGGUUC
RNAcentral lists this ribosomal RNA (565 nucleotides) under Glomus sp. spore-6-B3. Its description in RNAcentral is "SSU rRNA". It matches the Rfam family "Eukaryotic small subunit ribosomal RNA", at positions 548 to 1114 of the family's 1831-position model. The record is from RNAcentral. Lineage: Eukaryota; Fungi; Glomeromycota; Glomeromycetes; Glomerales; Glomeraceae. RNAcentral also lists the same sequence under 1 other name.